GUAAACUUAUGCAUGCCUGGUCAGCAUUUUACGGUCUGUCUCUGCUGUUCUACUUAACUCUGUCUGUUCACACAAUCCAGAAGGAUAUAGCCGUCUCUCCACACAGACGUGCACCUGUUGUCUGGUGUAGCGGCUUUGCUGUUUCCUGCCUGUCUCACUUGGGACCGUUUAGUGCAUCAUAACAUUUCAUCCCCGUAGUAUAAAGUACAUAUAAAAUACUCCACCUGUCUUCCAGCACUGAAGACUUUUGUUCUGUUACAGAUCUAGUCUCAUCAUUAACAAGCUGCUGGUGCUCUGAGACUGAGCACAGGGAGCGAGGGGAGCUGAUAACGUGGCAUAGAGUUACAGAGCCAUCUGUGGAAGUGGCACCAUUACAUCAGCUUUGGGCACAGACCUGCCGUACUGCAAGAGUGUUCUCUGGCAGAGAUGGGCGGCAGCUCAUCACUGAUUUUUGGCAGAAGCAUCUCUCUCCGGUUGAGAUGGGCUGUUCGAGCGGCACCGGGUUCUGCACCGGGCAGUUCUGUACUGCAUGUCCCUGUUAUUCAACCAUCUUGGGGAAAAGCCUUGCCCGCGGCAAAGGCCAAUUUGUGUUCCUCUCAGGGAGGAUAGAGGGGUUUCCUCCUGAGACCGGAGAGGAACAGAUUGUGGAAUUACUAUUGGGCUACAGGAGUACCGGACCUGCAGGCUUCUGGCACAUGAAGAAUCACUGGAGCAUAUGUCGCCAGCAUGAUUCAUUCAUUUACAUUUAUAGAGUGGAAGUGGGCCAGGUAGCACACCGUGGUGACUGUCAACAGCACCUCCAUCUUCACACACUUCACAUACACCCGUCCCACCAUCCGACCAUAUGUCCCGAGAAACACAAUUUCUAAUGGACAAGGACAGCUGUAUCAGGUAUUUGGUUUCGCUAAUCAAGUGAGACCUUUCACUGAAUGCUGCUUACUCUCAGUUAGUCCUAGUGAGCAGCAUAGCCAUCCUUCCCCUGAGCAUUACAUCAUUCUGAGGGACAACCGAGCCAAUCAACAGCCUGGCAGGAUUACGCAGCAUAUGGGCAUGUCCUGACUGUGAGGGAGAGCUAAACAGAGCAACUGUCAAUGGUGAAAUGGUGUGUGGGUGUCGUACACAGUAAUGGGUCAAUCACUCCGAAAAUAAGACUUUUUCUUCUGACUGAGCACGGAAGAGCUCUGUUCUCACCUAAUGUUGUGAAGCAUACUUAAAGGAGAGAGAGGCCUAACAUGACCUGUCCUGAUCCACAUCCCCAUCUAUUCACAAAGUGGUCCACGAGCCUGCGAUGCAAAGCAAAGCGACAAUGGGAUCAGUCCGCAUUUGCAUUAUGAGCACACAAUGCAUGACACAAGCUUGCCCAGAGAGAUAUUUCUGCUCAGAAAAUAUCUGGCUUCAGAAGGAUGUGUCUGCAGUGCUCAGCAUCACUCCACUGACUAUGUCUCUUGCUUAUUAACAAACCAGCCUGUCACUUUAUAAACCCUGUUUCAGCUUUCCCUCAGCCGCACACACAUACACAUCAUGAAAUACACUUAGACAAUGACAAACACACAAAUUGUCCAGUCAGUUUAAGUGAAACUCUCACCGUGCACAUGUCAUGUUAGUCACACAGAGCAUGUUGAGGUUUUAAUACAGUAAUGCAUACUAGAAAUGUUAUUAAGAAGGUGGGAAUAAUGAUUAAAAAAAAAAUAAAAAAAAUUGGGGGGUUUCCAAAUUCUUUUAUACCCACAAUUAACCAUGAUGCUGCUGUGAUGCUGAAAAAUGUGUCCUAUCUAGUUUGCUUAUAUUUCUUAACAUAAUGUAAUGUAAUGGUAAGAGGACAACUAACG
Cyprinus carpio carpio is the source of this 1829-nucleotide long non-coding RNA. The record is from Ensembl. NCBI's taxonomy places the organism in Eukaryota, Metazoa, Chordata, Actinopteri, Cypriniformes, Cyprinidae.